Molecule: ribosomal RNA, 497 nt
Filed under: uncultured bacterium
Lineage: Bacteria
Description: partial 16S ribosomal RNA
Rfam family: Bacterial small subunit ribosomal RNA
Source: RNAcentral
GAUGAACGCUGGCGGCGUGCCUAAUACAUGCAAGUCGAGCGAACGGACGAGAAGCUUGCUUCUCUGAUGUUAGCGGCGAACGGGUGAGUAACACGUGGAUAACCUACCUAUAAGACUGGGAUAACUUCGGGAAACUGGAGCUAAUACCGGAUAAUAUUUUGAACCGCAUGGUUCAAAAGUGAAAGACGGUCUUGCUGUCACUUAUAGAUGGAUCCGCGCUGCAUUAGCUAGUUGGUAAGGUAACGGCUUACCAAGGCAACGAUGCAUAGCCGACCUGAGAGGGUGAUCGGCCACACUGGAACUGAGACACGGUCCAGACUCCUACGGGAGGCAGCAGUAGGGAAUCUUCCGCAAUGGGCGAAAGCCUGACGGAGCAACGCCGCGUGAGUGAUGAAGGUCUUCGGAUCGUAAAACUCUGUUAUUAGGGAAGAACAUAUGUGUAAGUAACUGUGCACAUCUUGACGGUACCUAAUCAGAAAGCCACGGCUAACUACGUG